UUAAGUUAGAAAGGGCGCACGGUGGAUGCCUUGGCACUAGGAGCCGAAGAAGGACGGGACUAACACCGAUAUGCUUUGGGGAGCUGUACGUAAGCGUUGAUCCAGAGAUUUCCGAAUGGGGGAACCCACUAUCUUUAGUCGGAUAGUAUCCUUACGUGAAUACAUAGCGUAAGGAAGGCAGACCCAGGGAACUGAAACAUCUAAGUACCUGGAGGAAGAGAAAGAAAAAUCGAUUUCCUGAGUAGCGGCGAGCGAAACGGAAAGAGCCCAAACCAAGAAGCUUGCUUCUUGGGGUUGUAGGACACUCUAUACGGAGUUACAAAAGAAAGUUAUAAAUGAAGCGGUCUGGAAAGGCCCGCCAAAGACGGUAACAGCCCGGUAAUUGAAAUGGCUUUCCCUCCAGAGUGGAUCCUGAGUACGGCGGAACACGUGAAAUUCCGUCGGAAUCCGGGAGGACCAUCUCCCAAGGCUAAAUACUCCCUAGUGACCGAUAGUGAACCAGUACCGUGAGGGAAAGGUGAAAAGCACCCCGGAAGGGGAGUGAAACAGUUCCUGAAACCGUGUGCCUACAAGUAGUUAGAGCCCGUUAAUGGGUGAUAGCGUGCCUUUUGUAGAAUGAACCGGCGAGUUACGAUUUGUUGCAAGGUUAAGCGGAAAAAGCGGAGCCGUAGCGAAAGCGAGUCUGAAUAGGGCGCAUAAGUAACAGGUCGUAGACCCGAAACCAGGUGAUCUACCCAUGUCCAGGAUGAAGGUAAGGUAAUACUUACUGGAGGUCCGAACCCACGCACGUUGAAAAGUGCGGGGAUGAGGUGUGGGUAGCGGAGAAAUUCCAAUCGAACUUGGAGAUAGCUGGUUCUCUCCGAAAUAGCUUUAGGGCUAGCCUCGAGGUAAAGAGUCAUGGAGGUAGAGCACUGUUUGGACUAGGGGCCCUUCUCGGGUUACCGAAUUCAGAUAAACUCCGAAUGCCAUGUACUUAUACUCGGGAGUCAGACUGCGAGUGAUAAGAUCCGUAGUCGAAAGGGAAACAGCCCAGACCACCAGUUAAGGUCCCCAAAUAUAUGUUAAGUGGAAAAGGAUGUGGGGUUGCUUAGACAACCAGGAUGUUGGCUUAGAAGCAGCCACCAUUGAAAGAGUGCGUAAUAGCUCACUGGUCGAGUGACCCCGCGCCGAAAAUGUACCGGGGCUAAACAUAUUACCGAAACUGUGGAUGAACCUCAUUAGAGGUUCGUGGUAGGAGAGCGUUCUAAGGGCGGUGAAGUCAGACCGGAAGGACUGGUGGAGCGCUUAGAAGUGAGAAUGCCGGUAUGAGUAGCGAAAGAAGGGUGAGAAUCCCUUCCACCGAAUAUCUAAGGUUUCCUGAGGAAGGCUCGUCCGCUCAGGGUUAGUCGGGACCUAAGCCGAGGCCGAUAGGCGUAGGCGAUGGACAACAGGUAGAGAUUCCUGUACCAGUGCUAAUUGUUUAACCGAUGGGGUGACACAGAAGGAUAGGGAAUCGCACGAAUGGAAAUGUGCGUCCAAGCAGUGAGUGUGAGAAGUAGGCAAAUCCGCUUCUCGCGAAGCAUGAGCUGUGAUGGGGAAGGAAAUUAAGUACGGAAGUUCCUGAUUUCACGCUGUCAAGAAAAGCCUCUAGGAAGAGUAGUACUGCCCGUACCGCAAACCGACACAGGUAGAUGAGGAGAGAAUCCUAAGGUGAGCGAGAGAACUCUCGUUAAGGAACUCGGCAAAAUGACCCCGUAACUUCGGGAGAAGGGGUGCUCUAUUAGGGUGCAAGCCCGAGAGAGCCGCAGUGAAUAGGCCCAGGCGACUGUUUAGCAAAAACACAGGUCUCUGCAAAACCGUAAGGUGACGUAUAGGGGCUGACGCCUGCCCGGUGCUGGAAGGUUAAGAGGAGUGCUUAGCUUCGGCGAAGGUACGAAUUGAAGCCCCAGUAAACGGCGGCCGUAACUAUAACGGUCCUAAGGUAGCGAAAUUCCUUGUCGGGUAAGUUCCGACCCGCACGAAAGGCGCAACGAUCUGGGCACUGUCUCAACGAGAGACUCGGUGAAAUUAUAGUACCUGUGAAGAUGCAGGUUACCCGCGACAGGACGGAAAGACCCCGUGGAGCUUUACUGCAACCUGAUAUGGAAUGUUUGUACCGCUUGUACAGGAUAGGUAGGAGCCGAAGAGACGUGUGCGCUAGCAUACGAGGAGGCAAUGGUGGGAUACU
This 2206-nucleotide ribosomal RNA is filed under the name Listeria monocytogenes. RNAcentral's name for it is "bacterial LSU rRNA". It matches the Rfam family "Bacterial large subunit ribosomal RNA", at positions 3 to 2201 of the family's 2925-position model. Lineage: Bacteria; Bacillati; Bacillota; Bacilli; Caryophanales; Listeriaceae. The record is from RNAcentral.